This 344-nucleotide unclassified non-coding RNA is filed under the name soil metagenome. RNAcentral's name for it is "partial contains 5.8S ribosomal RNA, internal transcribed spacer 2, and large subunit ribosomal RNA". The stretch from base 1 to 120 matches the Rfam family "5.8S ribosomal RNA", at positions 35 to 154 of the family's 154-position model. The record is from RNAcentral.
GAUGAAGAACGUAGCGAAACGCGAUAAGUAAUGUGAAUUGCAGAAUCCAGUGAAUCAUCGAAUCUUUGAACGCACAUUGCGCCCGCCAGCAUUCUGGCGGGCAUGCCUGUUCGAGCGUCAUUUCAACCCUCGACCUCCCCUUGGGGAGGUCGGCGUUGGGGACCGGCAGCACACCGCCGGCCCUGAAAUGGAGUGGCGGCCCGUCCGCGGCGACCUCUGCGCAGUAAUACAGCUCGCACCGGGACCCCGACGCGGCCACGCCGUAAAACACCCAACUUCUGAACGUUGACCUCGAAUCAGGUAGGACUACCCGCUGAACUUAAGCAUAUUCAAUAAGCGGAGGA